This 801-nucleotide ribosomal RNA is filed under the name uncultured bacterium. Its description in RNAcentral is "bacterial SSU rRNA". It matches the Rfam family "Bacterial small subunit ribosomal RNA", at positions 8 to 796 of the family's 1533-position model. The record is from RNAcentral.
AGAGUUUGAUCAUGGCUCAGAGCGAAGCGGCGUGCUUAACACAUGCAAGUCGAACGUGAAAUGUAGCAAUACAGAGUAAAGUGGCGUACGGGUGAGUAACACGUGGGUAAUCUACCAAAGAGUCUAGAAUAACCGGCCGAAAGGCUGGCUAAUGCUGGAUAGUUCAAGUGCACUGUAGAGGUGCGAUUGGGAAAGGGAGCCGGUAACGCCUUCGCUUUUUGAUGAGCCCGCGUCUGAUUAGUUAGUUGGUGAGGUAACGGCUCACCAAGACGAUGAUCAGUAGCUGGUCUGAGAGGAUGAUCAGCCACACUGGAACUGAAACACGGUCCAGACUCCUACGGGAGGCAGCAGUGGGGAAUCUUGCGCAAUGGACGAAAGUCUGACGCAGCCACGCCGCGUGAGUGAAGAAGGCCUUCGGGUUGUAAAGCUCUGUCGGAGGGGACAAAAACGUUUAUGGUUAAUAGCCAUAGAUCUUGAUGGUACCCUUAAAGGAAGCACCGGCUAACUUCGUGCCAGCAGCCGCGGUAAUACGAAGGGUGCAAGCGUUGCUCGGAAUUAUUGGGCGUAAAGGGUAGGUAGGUGGUGAUAUUUGUCUGGGGUGAAAUCCCUGAGCUUAACUCAGGAAGUGCCUUGGAAACGGUAUCACUAGAGUGCUGGAGAGGUUCGCAGAAUUCCCGGUGUAGCGGUGAAAUGCGUAGAGAUCGGGAGGAAUACCAGAGGCGAAGGCGGCGAACUGGACAGCAACUGACACUCAACUACGAAAGCGUGGGUAGCAAACAGGAUUAGAUACCCUAGUAGUCC